AGCAAAAGAGAGAUAUGAAAGAGGGUGGAGGGAGCAUGUGGGAGGGAUGAGGGAGAAAUGAAGAUGGAAAAAAUUUAAAAGUGUUUUUUAAUUUUAAUUUUAUGUAAAUUCCGUACACAUUUCUUCAACAUCAUCUCUCCCACCUCUCUUCCUCUACCCUUCUUCAUCUCUCAUUUUCUCCU
This 182-nucleotide microRNA precursor is filed under the name Prunus dulcis (almond). RNAcentral describes it as "sRNA ncRNA". The record is from RNAcentral. Lineage: Eukaryota; Viridiplantae; Streptophyta; Magnoliopsida; Rosales; Rosaceae.